UGCAAGUCGAGCGAAUGGAUUAAGAGCUUGCUCUUAUGAAGUUAGCGGCGGACGGGUGAGUAACACGUGGGUAACCUGCCCAUAAGACUGGGAUAACUCCGGGAAACCGGGGCUAAUACCGGAUAACAUUUUGAACCGCAUGGUUCGAAAUUGAAAGGCGGCUUCGGCUGUCACUUAUGGAUGGACCCGCGUCGCAUUAGCUAGUUGGUGAGGUAACGGCUCACCAAGGCAACGAUGCGUAGCCGACCUGAGAGGGUGAUCGGCCACACUGGGACUGAGACACGGCCCAGACUCCUACGGGAGGCAGCAGUAGGGAAUCUUCCGCAAUGGACGAAAGUCUGACGGAGCAACGCCGCGUGAGUGAUGAAGGCUUUCGGGUCGUAAAACUCUGUUGUUAGGGAAGAACAAGUGCUAGUUGAAUAAGCUGGCACCUUGACGGUACCUAACCAGAAAGCCACGGCUAACUACGUGCCAGCAGCCGCGGUAAUACGUAGGUGGCAAGCGUUAUCCGGAAUUAUUGGGCGUAAAGCGCGCGCAGGUGGUUUCUUAAGUCUGAUG
Molecule: ribosomal RNA, 558 nt
Filed under: Bacillus cereus
Lineage: Bacteria; Bacillati; Bacillota; Bacilli; Caryophanales; Bacillaceae
Description: bacterial SSU rRNA
Rfam family: Bacterial small subunit ribosomal RNA
Source: RNAcentral